This 253-nucleotide ribosomal RNA is filed under the name uncultured bacterium. Its description in RNAcentral is "partial 16S ribosomal RNA". It matches the Rfam family "Bacterial small subunit ribosomal RNA", at positions 524 to 776 of the family's 1533-position model. The record is from RNAcentral.
UACGGAGGAGGCAAGCGUUAUCCGGAAUUAUUGGGCGUAAAGCGUCCGCAGGUGGCACUUCAAGUCUGUCGUCAAAGACCGGGGCUUAACCCCAGAAAGGCAGUGGAAACUGAAGUGCUAGAAUGCAGUAGGGGUAGAGGGAAUUCCCGGUGUAGCGGUGAAAUGCGUAGAGAUCGGGAAGAACAUCGGUGGCGAAAGCGCUCUGCUGGACUGCAACUGACACUCAGGGACGAAAGCUAGGGGAGCGAAUGGG